This 583-nucleotide ribosomal RNA is filed under the name uncultured Lachnum. Its description in RNAcentral is "eukaryotic LSU rRNA". The stretch from base 236 to 389 matches the Rfam family "5.8S ribosomal RNA". Lineage: Eukaryota; Fungi; Ascomycota; Leotiomycetes; Helotiales; Hyaloscyphaceae. The record is from RNAcentral.
AUUCUUGGUCAUUUAGAGGAAGUAAAAGUCGUAACAAGGUUUCCGUAGGUGAACCUGCGGAAGGAUCAUUACAGAGUUCAUGCCCUUCGGGGUAGAUCUCCCACCCUUGUGUAUCAUUAUAGAAUGUUGCUUUGGCGGGCCGCGCCUAGUGUGCCUGGAUUCGCGUCCAGCGUGCCCGCCAGAGGACCCCUAAACUCUGAAUGUUAGUGUCGUCUGAGUACUAUUAAAUAGUUAAAACUUUCAACAACGGAUCUCUUGGUUCUGGCAUCGAUGAAGAACGCAGCGAAAUGCGAUAAGUAAUGUGAAUUGCAGAAUUCAGUGAAUCAUCGAAUCUUUGAACGCACAUUGCGCCCCCUGGUAUUCCGGGGGGCAUGCCUGUUCGAGCGUCAUUUAUACCAAUCUAGCCUGGCUAGGUGUUGGGCUUCGCCGUCUGGCGGGCCUUAAAACUAGUGGCGGUGCUCUUAGGCUCUACGCGUAGUAAUUUUCUCGCUAUAGGGUCCUGGGAGAUGCUUGCCAGCAACCCCAAAUUUUUCUAGGUUGACCUCGGAUCAGGUAGGGAUACCCGCUGAACUUAAGCAUAUCA